Molecule: ribosomal RNA, 301 nt
Filed under: uncultured bacterium
Lineage: Bacteria
Description: partial 16S ribosomal RNA
Rfam family: Bacterial small subunit ribosomal RNA
Source: RNAcentral
CAGUCGCCGCGGUAAUACGUAGGUGGCAAGCGUUGUCCGGAAUUAUUGGGCGUAAAGGGCUCGCAGGCGGUUCCUUAAGUCUGAUGUGAAAGCCCCCGGCUCAACCGGGGAGGGUUAUUGGAAACUGGGAAACUUGAGUGCAGAAGAGGAGAGUGGAAUUCCACGUGUAGCGGUGAAAUGCGUAGAGAUGUGGAGGAGCACCAGUGGCGAAGGCGACUCUCUGGUCUGUAACUGACGCUGAGGAGCGAAAGCGUGGGGAGCGAACAGGAUUAGAUACCCGCGUAGUCCCUGUCUCUUAUAC